This is a long non-coding RNA of Globicephala melas (long-finned pilot whale), 2320 nucleotides long. RefSeq lists it as uncharacterized. NCBI's taxonomy places the organism in Eukaryota, Metazoa, Chordata, Mammalia, Artiodactyla, Delphinidae. The record is from RefSeq and is a predicted model, not a curated record.
GUGGGGCUGAGCCUCGAGAACCCGAGGGCGGACUUUUUUUUAAAAAACAAAUUUAUUUAUUUAUUUUUGGAUGCGUUGGGUCUUCGUUGCUGCGCGCGGACUUUCUCUAGUUGCGCUUCACGGGAUCAUACCUCUGUGAAGAACAAGCCCCGUGAGCCCACAGACAGAUUCAGGUACAAAACUGAAUGCCCUUACUUCGGCCAUGGGAGUGAGCCAUGGUGGACAUCCAGCCCAGAUGACCCACUGGUGGCUGCAGCCCCAGUCACUACCUGACUGCAACUCUGUGAGAGACCCCAAAUGAGAGCCACCCAGCUGAGCCCAAUCAAACCACAGAAGAUUGAGAGAUAAUAAUAAAUAUUUGUAUUAAGGUGCUGAGUUUGGAGAUAUCUUGAUACACAUCUAUGGGUAAUGAGCAAGAAAGGAACAAAACCAGAAUCUAAAGACUGGGGUCAGUUUCACUCUAAUGCGGUUGUGGUUAGCCUAUUGCUAAGCUUGAUAAUCGCCUGCCCACUUGGAGGUUUACAGGGUCUGCAUAUUAUUGAAGUGCUCAGUUUGCCUGUACCACCUCAUUGACCAUAUUCAAGGGCCAAACUGCUGCACAUAGAAUAUGAAUCAAGACACCUGAUCCUAAGACAUUUCCCUUCAACCUUUUUUUAAAGGAAGGAAAAGCAUCUUUGCUACAGUUUUUUGUUUUUUUUUUUCCCUGCGGUACGCGGGCCUCUUACCGUUGUGGCCUCUCCGGUUGCGGAGCACAGGCUCUGGACGCGCAGGCUCAGCGGCCAUGGCUCACGGGCCCAGCCGCUCCACGGCAUGUGGGAUCUUUCCGGACCGGGGCACGAACCCGUGUCCCCUGCAUCGGCAGGCGAACUCUCAACCACUGCGUCAUCAGGGAAGCCCUGCUAUAGUUUUAUAAAGGUUUUUAGUGGAGUGGUAAGCCAGAAACCCCCAGUCUGCGUCCAGCCUCCUCUUUGCAGAAAUGACCUCAGGUGAAGGCACCUCUCUGAACUUCAGUUUCCCCAUCUGAAAAAUGGGCACUGAGAUCAGCAGCUGCAUGGAGAUUCUGGGUGGGAAUGACUUUUCCGUGGAAUCAGUGAGUUUUGCAGCUGCCUCUCCGCCUUCGUGUCUCUGGCCAUCAGGAAUGAAUAAACAAGGCUUUUGUUUUCCUGCAAGUGGAGGAGGAUGGCAGCUUGUCUGGCCAUUGGAGGCUGCAGAGGCCAGGGGCCUGCUCACUAGACAGGGAAAUUGGGAAGUUUCCCACAUUGUGUUCUUUCCCUCAUCCUCCGGAUUUUCUCCUUUUUUAACCCCCCCCCAUUAGAAAAGCUUCAUUAUCUUUCGUGAUGAGUAAUAUUUACAUGUUAUAAAAAGUUCAAACAAACAUGAAGAAAAAAUUUAAAAGAUAUUUGCCAUUAUCUCACUAUGGAGAGAUAAGCAUUUGACUUUUUUUAACCUCCCUAUUCCACUUAACAAUUUAUUUAUUAUUUUUUAAUUUAUUUAUUUUUGGUUGCAUCGGGUCUUCGUUGCUGUGUGCAGGCUUUCUCUAGUUGAGGCGAGCGGGGGCUACUCUUCCUUGCUGUGCUCGGGCUUCUCAUUGCGGUGGCUUCUCCUGUUGCGGAGCACGGGCUCUAGGCACGCGGGCUUCAGUAGGUGUGGCAAGUGGGCUCAGUCACUGUGGCUCGCGGGCUUUAGAGCACAGGCUCAGUAGUUGUGGCGCACAGGGCUUAGAUGCUCCGAAGCAUAUGGGAUCUUCCUGGAACAGGGCUCGAACCCGUUUCCCGUGCAUUGACAGGCAGAUUCUUAACCACUGUGCCAGCAGGGAAGCCCCUCCACUUAACAGUUUAUUGUGGACACGGUUCAUGUUAAUGAAUUAGGUCAAUGUCAUCAUCGCACGUACAAUGGAGUAAAGAGCAGAGACUUAGGAACCAGACGGCCUGUAUCCAAAUUCCUUUUCCUCUACUCACUGGGUGUGUGACCUCCUUUACCCCUCUGCACUGGCUUCCUCACCUAUAAGAUGGGAACGACCACAGCUUCCACCUUACAGGGUUGUGGUGAUAUCCAAAUGAGCUGUCACCUGGCACACAGGUGCUAACCUCUCACUACAGCCACACUUACCGUGAGCCGUUGUGAUAUGGAGGUACCAUGACAUUUUUAACCCAUCUCCAAUUCUGGGCACUUUUGACUAAUAGACACACCUGUCUUUGCACCUUUGCUCAAGUAUUUUCUCUCAAAGACAAAUACCAUAUGACAUCACUUAUAUGUGGAAUCUAAAAUAUGGCACAAAUGAACGUAUCUAUGAAAUAGACUCAGACAUAGAGAACAAACU